GUCGUAAUUUAUGCAUCAGUCAAUUCUAGCGUUGCUCAUCCCCCCCCCCCGGGCAUUUGUACUCUUUUUUUGCCCGGGGGGGGCGGGCAUUGGUACUUGCAAAGUUGUCCCAGGGGCAGGGAAUUGUUUACUGGCUGGGCAUUUGACUCGACCGGACGUUUCUGUGACGAACACGUGCUAUCAAAUUAAAAUGGUGUCGAAGAAUUCGGGUGUAAAAACGAGGAUUUUGUCGAUAUUUUCAUUCACAAAACGUCACACCAAUCGCACUUGAGAAACUAAUUAAAGUUGUGUUUAACUAUCUAGCAUAAAAACACUAGAAUUCAUAGUACAAUCCUUGUUUUAUAUCUUGCUACGUGAUUGUAUAUUAACCACUGAACCGACGAGCAUGUUUUUCAUGUUCAAAAGUUAGGAUGACUGCUGUAGCUUUUAUACAAGGAAGCUAAUAAUGUUAUGGAAGUUUUGAGGUUUAAAAUACAUUCUCUAAAUGAGUCGGUGUGCCCUGGGGCC
This is a non-coding RNA of Paramuricea clavata, 507 nucleotides long. The record is from the annotation of a GenBank genome assembly. Lineage: Eukaryota; Metazoa; Cnidaria; Anthozoa; Malacalcyonacea; Plexauridae.